Molecule: long non-coding RNA, 362 nt
Organism: Piliocolobus tephrosceles (Ugandan red Colobus)
Lineage: Eukaryota; Metazoa; Chordata; Mammalia; Primates; Cercopithecidae
Exons: 2
Source: RefSeq, a predicted model, not a curated record
UUUUGUAGAGAUGGGGUUUCGCCAUGUUGUCCAGGCUGGUCUUGAAUUCUUGGACUCAAACCAUCUGUCCACGCUGGCCUCCCAAGGUGCUGUAGCAUCUCUUCCUCAAAGAUGAGUCAGCAGUCAUUUGAAGAGGAGGAAAGACUGGGUUGGGGAAGAAUCUGGGGCAAAAUGAAGCCAAAUUGAGAACGAGGAGAAAAGAAGAUGCUAAGGCCUCAGAUAAGGAGGACUUGAGUGUUACAGCUUUUCAUAUUUGUCCAGCAGGCUUUCUGCUUUUUACUGGAAACUGCCCCCCAACCCCCCAAAAAAUAAAAAUAAAAACAAAUAAAUAAAAAAGAAAGAUUUAAAAAAUAAAAGAGAAA